This 454-nucleotide long non-coding RNA is filed under the name Mytilus galloprovincialis (Mediterranean mussel). The record is from RNAcentral. Lineage: Eukaryota; Metazoa; Mollusca; Bivalvia; Mytilida; Mytilidae.
AAUUUUUUUAUAACAUAGUUAGUGUCCAUAUUUUCAGGACACGAUAAAUGACUUAAAUUUAGUUCACAGAAGGUUUUCUUUACUAAAAAAUUCCAGUUUUUAACACACUUAUGCUUAAUACUCAUACUAUCAGCCCACUUGUGAACUUUUGCAUUUAACCGAUUUGAGCUCAUGUUAUUUAAUCUACACCACAAACGAAUAAUACUUUUCCACUGCUUAUCAAAAAUAGGUGUUAUACCUAAGUCUCCAGUAACUGCAGCAUUUGGUGCAUAUUUUCCUACUCCGAGAAAAAAUCUACAAGCCCUAUUAUGUAUGGAGUUAAUACAAGAAUAUGUUUUUACACCCCAUAUACCUGCUCCAUAUUCUAUUAUAAGACAAACCAAACGUUCAUAUAAUUUUACAAAUACAUCGAAACAAACACCACCUAAAAGUUUACACUUGGCUAUUACCAACC